Molecule: ribosomal RNA, 270 nt
Filed under: uncultured bacterium
Lineage: Bacteria
Description: partial 16S ribosomal RNA
Rfam family: Bacterial small subunit ribosomal RNA
Source: RNAcentral
CGGUGUGAGUAGAGUGGCGCACGGGUGAGUAACACGUAGGUGAUCUGCCUUUUGGUGGGGGAUAACCAGAAGAAAUUCUGGCUAAUACCGCAUAAGAUGAACAAAUUUGGAAGUAGUUCAUGAAAGAAUGCCUCUGCAUAUGCAUUCACCGAUUGAGGAGCCUGCGCGACAUUAGCUUGAUGGUGGGGUAACGGCCUACCUUGGCAACGAUGUCUAGCGGAUUUGAGAGAAUGAUCCGCCACACUGGAACUGAGACACGGUCCAGACUCC